GCAGUGGUUAUUCAGUAGUAGGAUUCUUGCCUUCCAUGUAGGAGACCUGGGUUCGAUGCCCUGCGAAUGUA
This 71-nucleotide transfer RNA is filed under the name Loxodonta africana (African savanna elephant). It matches the Rfam family "tRNA". From Rfam's summary of the family: Transfer RNA (tRNA) molecules are approximately 80 nucleotides in length. Their secondary structure includes four short double-helical elements and three loops (D, anti-codon, and T loops). Lineage: Eukaryota; Metazoa; Chordata; Mammalia; Proboscidea; Elephantidae. The record is from Rfam by way of RNAcentral.